This 253-nucleotide unclassified non-coding RNA is filed under the name Saitozyma podzolica. Its description in RNAcentral is "partial contains 5.8S ribosomal RNA, internal transcribed spacer 2, and large subunit ribosomal RNA". Lineage: Eukaryota; Fungi; Basidiomycota; Tremellomycetes; Tremellales; Trimorphomycetaceae. The record is from RNAcentral.
CGCACCUUGCGCCCUCUGGUAUUCCGGAGGGCAUGCCUGUUUGAGUGUCAUGUAGACUCAAUCCCUCGGGUUUCCGAGGAGAUUGGACUUGGGUGUUGCCGCUCUGCCGGCUCGCCUUAAAAGACUUAGCGGGAUAGCACCGUAGUCGGCGUAAUAAGUUUCGUCGGUGAAGGUUGUGAUGACUGCUUACAAUCGCCCUCGGGCAAUUUUUGACUCUGACCUCAAAUCAGGUAGGACUACCCGCUGAACUUAA